Molecule: long non-coding RNA, 427 nt
Filed under: Callithrix jacchus (white-tufted-ear marmoset)
Lineage: Eukaryota; Metazoa; Chordata; Mammalia; Primates; Cebidae
Description: lncRNA (ENSCJAG00000063567.2)
Source: RNAcentral
UGGGGCACUGUGUGUACCAAGGCAGUCUGGUUUGGAAGCUCCCAUAUCUGAUGCCUGGCUCAGAAUUUCAGUUAAGACAGAAAACUGAAGUUUGAAACAUGGCCUGAUAAAAUUCACUCAGUGUCUAGAAGUCUGCCCGAAGUGAAGGCUACUCCAGGUAUCAUCAAGUCCCCUCCUGACUCAAGCAAGUAAGGCUACAGAGGGCAGCUGUGCUCUGCCGGAAGGUCAGCUGUGGAGCAGGAAAAGACCCAGAAACUCCGCUCUCCUCUUGCUGGGCACGCUGGCCUGACCUGCACUCAGCAGCCGCAGCCUUCCACGACAGCUUCCUUGGGGCCCAGAUAUUGUUCUCAUAGCUUCAGACCCUGAAAUACUAUAUAUCAGCAGCAUUUUCUAAUUAUAAAAGAGUAUCCAGAAGAAUAUUCAGAAG